Small nucleolar RNA from Otolemur garnettii (small-eared galago), 105 nucleotides. NCBI's taxonomy places the organism in Eukaryota, Metazoa, Chordata, Mammalia, Primates, Galagidae. The record is from Ensembl.
AGGAAAAACUUAUCAUAAAAAAUGAUAAAACCAAUAGUAAUCUGGAGUCAUUGUGAUGAGAGGCACAAAACUUGUAGCCUCCCUAUAAAUAAAUUCCCUACAUGU